GGGGCAACCCCAACCCUCGAUCCCAUCCCGCGGCGCGUGCGUCUUGACGUGCGUGGUGCGGCUAACGAAACCCCGGCGCGGCAUGCGCCAAGGAAAACUCAUAGAAGCACCCGCCUCCUGUCGCCCCGUUCGCGGUGCGCGGCGGGGGGAGUGGGUGUCUCUCCAAUGUCAUAACGACUCUCGGCAACGGAUAUCUCGGCUCUCGCAUCGAUGAAGAACGUAGCGAAAUGCGAUACUUGGUGUGAAUUGCAGAAUCCCGUGAACCAUCGAGUCUUUGAACGCAAGUUGCGCCCGAAGCCUUUCGGCCGAGGGCACGCCUGCCUGGGCGUCACGCAUCGCGUCGCCCCCCUCCCCAUCCGCUCGGAAACGGGCGAUCGGGUGCCGGGGGUGGAAAUUGGCCCCCCGUGCGCAGCGCCGCGCGGCCGGCCUAAAUGCGAACCCGUGGCGACUCACGUCACGACCAGUGGUGGUUGAACACUCAACUCUCGUGCUGUCGUGCCGGGCUGAGUCGCACGUCGGACAACGUGGUAGACCCAACGGAGCAAUUUUAUUGCGCC
RNAcentral lists this ribosomal RNA (557 nucleotides) under Agalinis obtusifolia. RNAcentral describes it as "eukaryotic LSU rRNA". The stretch from base 176 to 331 matches the Rfam family "5.8S ribosomal RNA". The record is from RNAcentral. Lineage: Eukaryota; Viridiplantae; Streptophyta; Magnoliopsida; Lamiales; Orobanchaceae.